Molecule: non-coding RNA, 31 nt
Filed under: Mus musculus (house mouse)
Lineage: Eukaryota; Metazoa; Chordata; Mammalia; Rodentia; Muridae
Source: RNAcentral
UGGCAGAACUUAACGUCAGGUGAUCCAUGGU